CAGACCAGUCGAAUUUCCAUUUCAAUAAACAUUUAGGAUAUUAAAUGUACAAUCAUUUUAAAUACCUACUAAAGAGUAUUUAUCCAAUAUUUACUAUCCGAUAAAGUGGCCAUUCGAUCCCUUUUAACCGUUGAAUGUAAACCAGGACGAUAGCGAUUCGACAUACUCAGAAGCAUCGUCGAGGGAUCAGAAUAACAACAAUCCAUCUUUUUGCCCGAAGACUACGGUGGUCGAAGGUACUCGCCGUCCAGCGUCUCCGACAAAAAAAAUAUAAGCAAGUGACGGCGAAAGUGCUGUUCGGCAGCGUGACUUCGAUCAAUGACCUCAAGCAGAAAAAGACUGGGGAGUGGCGUAAGCACUAGCGACAUCUUGUAUGUGAUAAGGGCUAAGGUUGAUCUCGGAAGACAGUUUUGUUGUUCUUAAAAAUAUAUUUUUGUAUUACUCUUAGAUUUAGUUAAAAUACUUAAAUAUUGUAUGUCUUAAAAUCAAUAAAUAAUUGUGU
This is a long non-coding RNA of Nymphalis io (European peacock), 502 nucleotides long. RefSeq lists it as uncharacterized. Lineage: Eukaryota; Metazoa; Arthropoda; Insecta; Lepidoptera; Nymphalidae. The record is from RefSeq and is a predicted model, not a curated record. The transcript is spliced from 3 exons.